AGCAGCCGCGGUAAUUCCAGCUCCAAUAGCGUAUAUUAAAGUUGUUGCAGUUAAAAAGCUCGUAGUUGAAUUUCGAGAUCAAAUUGUUGGUCGUGCCUCGGUACGUACUGGCAUUAUUGAUUUCUCCCUUCUGAAGAACCACGAUGUCAUUAAUUUGGUGUCGUGGGGAAUCAGGACUGUUACUUUGAAAAAAUUAGAGUGUUUAAAGCAGGCUCACGCUUGAAUACAUUAGCAUGGAAUAAUGAAAUAGGACGUUUGAUUCUAUUUUGUUGGUUUCUAGGAUUGACGUAAUGAUUAAUAGGGAUAGUUGGGGGCAUUAGUAUUCAAUUGUCAGAGGUGAAAUUCUUGGA
Molecule: ribosomal RNA, 350 nt
Filed under: uncultured Glomus
Lineage: Eukaryota; Fungi; Glomeromycota; Glomeromycetes; Glomerales; Glomeraceae
Description: SSU rRNA
Rfam family: Eukaryotic small subunit ribosomal RNA
Source: RNAcentral